UACGUAGGGUGCAAGCGUUAAUCGGAAUUACUGGGCGUAAAGCGUGCGCAGGCGGUUCGUUGUGUCGGUGGUGAAAUCCCCGGGCUUAACCUGGGAAUGGCCAUGAAACUGGCGAACUGGAGUGCGGCAGAGGGGGGUGGAAUUCCGCGUGUAGCAGUGAAAUGCGUAGAGAUGCGGAGGAACACCGAUGGCGAAGGCAGCCCCCUGGGCUAGCACUGACGCUCAGGCACGAAAGCGUGGGGAGCAAACAGG
This 252-nucleotide ribosomal RNA is filed under the name uncultured bacterium. RNAcentral's name for it is "partial 16S ribosomal RNA". It matches the Rfam family "Bacterial small subunit ribosomal RNA", at positions 524 to 776 of the family's 1533-position model. The record is from RNAcentral.